AGAGUUUGAUCCUGGCUCAGGAUGAACGCUGGCGGCGUGCCUAAUACAUGCAAGUCGAGCGAACGGACGAGAAGCUUGCUUCUCUGAUGUUAGCGGCGGACGGGUGAGUAACACGUGGAUAACCUACCUAUAAGACUGGGAUAACUUCGGGAAACCGGAGCUAAUACCGGAUAAUAUUUUGAACCGCAUGGUUCAAAAGUGAAAGACGGUCUUGCUGUCACUUAUAGAUGGAUCCGCGCUGCAUUAGCUAGUUGGUAAGGUAACGGCUUACCAAGGCAACGAUGCAUAGCCGACCUGAGAGGGUGAUCGGCCACACUGGAACUGAGAC
RNAcentral lists this ribosomal RNA (328 nucleotides) under uncultured Staphylococcus sp. Its description in RNAcentral is "bacterial SSU rRNA". It matches the Rfam family "Bacterial small subunit ribosomal RNA", at positions 8 to 325 of the family's 1533-position model. The record is from RNAcentral. Lineage: Bacteria; Bacillati; Bacillota; Bacilli; Caryophanales; Staphylococcaceae.